UCAGGAUGAACGCUGGCGGCGUGCCUAAUACAUGCAAGUCGAGCGAAUGGAUUAAGAGCUUGCUCUUAUGAAGUUAGCGGCGGACGGGUGAGUAACACGUGGGUAACCUGCCCAUAAGACUGGGAUAACUCCGGGAAACCGGGGCUAAUACCGGAUAACAUUUUGAACCUGCAUGGUUCGAAAUUGAAAGGCGGCUUCGGCUGUCACUUAUGGAUGGACCCGCGUCGCAUUAGCUAGUUGGUGAGGUAACGGCUCACCAAGGCAACGAUGCGUAGCCGACCUGAGAGGGUGAUCGGCCACACUGGGACUGAGACACGGCCCAGACUCCUACGGGAGGCAGCAGUAGGGAAUCUUCCGCAAUGGACGAAAGUCUGACGGAGCAACGCCGCGUGAGUGAUGAAGGCUUUCGGGUCGUAAAACUCUGUUGUUAGGGAAGAACAAGUGCUAGUUGAAUAAGCUGGCACCUUGACGGUACCUAACCAGAAAGCCACGGCUAACUACGUGCCAGCAGCCGCGGUAAUACGUAGGUGGCAAGCGUUAUCCGGAAUUAUUGGGCGUAAAGCGCGCGCAGGUGGUUUCUUAAGUCUGAUGUGAAAGCCCACGGCUCAACCGUGGAGGGUCAUUGGAAACUGGGAGACUUGAGUGCAGAAGAGGAAAGUGGAAUUCCAUGUGUAGCGGUGAAAUGCGUAGAGAUAUGGAGGAACACCAGUGGCGAAGGCGAUUUCUGGUCUGUA
This 734-nucleotide ribosomal RNA is filed under the name Bacillus sp. RN(2010). RNAcentral's name for it is "bacterial SSU rRNA". It matches the Rfam family "Bacterial small subunit ribosomal RNA", at positions 24 to 738 of the family's 1533-position model. Lineage: Bacteria; Bacillati; Bacillota; Bacilli; Caryophanales; Bacillaceae. The record is from RNAcentral.